GCAGUCGUGGCCGAAUGGUUAAGGCGAUGGUCUAGAAAUCCCUUGGGGUCUCCCCGCACAGGUUCGAAUCCUGUCGACUGCG
Molecule: transfer RNA, 82 nt
Filed under: Ixodes scapularis (black-legged tick)
Lineage: Eukaryota; Metazoa; Arthropoda; Arachnida; Ixodida; Ixodidae
Rfam family: tRNA
About the family: Transfer RNA (tRNA) molecules are approximately 80 nucleotides in length.
Source: Rfam by way of RNAcentral